GGAUCUUAGCUCAUUUGCCAUGCCCUUCCUGGAUGGAGACGUGGAGAGCUCGGAUAAGAAUGCUUCCCGGAAGAGACGGAGUUAACAUGUUCAUCUGAAGACAAGUAGAAGGUGGAAGAGAGCUCCAACGCGGGCAGCCCUUCGAAAGGCCUUUUCUCAAAAGGGCUCCAAAAUCGACCUUCCAGCCCUGUUUCUGCCCCUGUGAGAUCUAAGCAUAGCCCAGGCUCAC
This is a long non-coding RNA of Alligator sinensis (Chinese alligator), 229 nucleotides long. RefSeq lists it as uncharacterized. The transcript is spliced from 3 exons. The record is from RefSeq and is a predicted model, not a curated record. Lineage: Eukaryota; Metazoa; Chordata; Crocodylia; Alligatoridae.